This 506-nucleotide ribosomal RNA is filed under the name uncultured bacterium. Its description in RNAcentral is "partial 16S ribosomal RNA". It matches the Rfam family "Bacterial small subunit ribosomal RNA", at positions 28 to 507 of the family's 1533-position model. The record is from RNAcentral.
GACGAACGCUGGCGGCGUGCUUAACACAUGCAAGUCGAACGGGCCUUGUCCCCUUUUUUUUGGGGGUGGGGUUAGUGGCGAACGGGCGAGUAACACGUGAGUAACCUGCCCCUCACUUCUGGAUAACCGCUUGAAAGGGUGGCUAAUACGGGGUGUUCUGGCCUGCUCGCAUGGGUGGGUUUGGAAAGAUUCGACCGGUUUGGUUGUUUUGGUGGGGGAUGGGCUCGCGGCCUAUCAGCUUGUUGGUGGGGUGAUGGCCUGCCAAGGCUUUGACGGGUAGCCGGCCUGAGAGGGUGGGCGGUCACACUGGGACUGAGACACGGCCCAGACUCCUACGGGAGGCAGCAGUGGGGAAUAUUGCACAAUGGGCGCAAGCCUGAUGCAGCGACGCCGCGUGAGGGAUGGAGGCCUUCGGGUUGUGAACCUCUUUCGCCAGUGAAGAAGGUCCUGCUCUUUGUGGUGGGGUUGACGGUAGCUGGGUUAAUGAAGCGCCGGCUAACUACGUG